CUUCAGCCUUCUCGUUUGUAGUAGUCCUCAUAGCUCAUCGACUCCCAUCUACUUGAUCCGCCAAGAUGAUAAACUCAAUCACAAUAAUGAACUGGAGAAUUAAAAAAAUCCGGCAACAUGUGAGUUACAUAAGUAAUCUUCAAGAUCUCAAUGUUCUAUCUAUAUUGUUAAAAUGAGAAGAAGAUUACCCUGCACCAACACGAGCGAGUUCACCUGCAAAACAUAGCCAACCCGAGCUUCUUAAAUAAAAGAAAUAUGAAAGAGAUAUUUCAACUCUGCUCUCUCUCACAACGUUACAUAUAUACCGUAUAGUUGAAUAUAGUCCGAGGGAAUGAAGAAGGGAAUAACUGAAACAUCAAUUACUUAGCAUAAUUCUAUUCAUAACUUUCUCAAGUAAGAAACAUGAAUCUCAACUUUGAAAAAUCAUUAUCUCAACUUUGAAAAAUCAUAUAAAAUCAACAUUUUCAAAGAAAAAUGCAAGCUUUACCUUUUAAGAAAGCUAUUAAAGUCUAUCUUUAUUAGAAAGUUACAAAAAUACAAUAUCUUCUCAAGUGUAUAAGAAAUUAUCUCACAAAAUAGCAGAAUCUGCCACAGAACCUUGCUGCUUCGCGCAGUACUUUUAAGCGUAUUGUUGAAUAUCUUCCGGUGUAAUUUAGCUGGGAAUAACUGAAACAUCAAUUACUUAGCAUAAUUCUAUUCAUAACUUUCAAGUUAUUUGGACAAUAGGAACACUCUCGAAAAUCCCUCACAAGACAUUGGUUCGUCCAGCCAAACUUGACAGCAAUACAGUUUCUGUUGAAACUCAACAUAUAACUCAUAUUUUGGCCAAAUAAAAGCUAUAAGAUCUCAAAUACAUCAUCUUACUACACAUUAGCAUGCUUUAGCUUGAAAUUUAAAUCAUAUUUAACUCAUCAACACCAAGAAAGCAAGUUAUAACACAACCAAUCACCACAAGUUCUCCACUCAAUACUAAAAGUCGUUCAUCCCUUAUUCAUAAAUCAAAAUUGGCUCAACACAUAGUAACAUGCUCAAUAUCCCCCAAUUUCUAUCAUAUAAUCACAUUCCACGCUCCCAAGAGUUCAAUUACAUAAGCAUCAAACAUUUAGCUAUCUUACCUCAAGAAUGCCCAAAUUCACUUAUUCAAAACUAUUAGGAAAUCAUGAUUUCCUGUCCAGUCCAGCAAUCCGGUUUAGCACCUAUACCAUCCAGUGAAAUGAAAAUUACACCCCAAGAAAACAAAAUACAAAAAACAGAAAAAUGCAGUUCUAAUUCAGAGAUGCCCAUAAGAGAUUAUGAUAAUAUGAGAUCAUUUUCUACAUAUGACUCUAAAGUUGUAACUUAGCAGAUUUGAUUACACUAAGAUGUCUUUCACCAUAAAAAACAAAAUUUUCUUCGAUCAUUGAGUAGAAAUGUUGCAGUCCUAAAAUGAUCAACUAUAGAGAAUUUAGAGAUGUCAAAGAAAUUGAUGAGGAGCGUGUAAGGAUACGAAGCAUCCUAAAUUGACACGAAGCACUCCCAUUGUAUGGUAACAUUCUCUAUCCUGCGCCCCGCAAGCUCUUGAGUCUACAAUUCGAAUAUUUAGAAAAUAACUUAACAGAAAGAAGAAUAUUAUUAUCAAUUUAAAAGAGACCAAAAUAACAGAUUAAUGAAAAAGACUAUUACCUCAAGAAUCCAGAAGCACCUGGGAGGCAUCUACAACAAGUAAGAGCUCCUUCACAGGCAGCAAAAGAGUGAGAAACCUGAAAAUAUUCAGAAAUCAUGAUACAAUACCAUAUAAACACAUGCUGCCAGUUGAAUUAAGGAACUUGACUACACUACCCGCAAAUUAAAAGGUCAUUUGUGAUCUCCAUGAAAAUAAAAGGAUGUGAGUGCUCUUCCAAGAACCAAUAAGUAGCUCAGUAACUACUCAAAGGCUUUUUUAUUUCUACAAAAGAGUAAAAUACAAGGACCACUUCCUCUCCUCCGAGGUCCACCGAACC
RNAcentral lists this long non-coding RNA (1979 nucleotides) under Salvia miltiorrhiza (redroot sage). Its description in RNAcentral is "long non-coding RNA (SMIL_LNC005927)". Lineage: Eukaryota; Viridiplantae; Streptophyta; Magnoliopsida; Lamiales; Lamiaceae. The record is from RNAcentral.